GACGAACGCUGGCGGCGUGCCUAAUACAUGCAAGUUGAGCGCUGAAGGUUGGUACUUGUACCAACUGGAUGAGCAGCGAACGGGUGAGUAACGCGUGGGGAAUCUGCCUUUGAGCGGGGGACAACAUUUGGAAACGAAUGCUAAUACCGCAUAAAAACUUUAAACACAAGUUUUAAGUUUGAAAGAUGCAAUUGCAUCACUCAAAGAUGAUCCCGCGUUGUAUUAGCUAGUUGGUGAGGUAAAGGCUCACCAAGGCGAUGAUACAUAGCCGACCUGAGAGGGUGAUCGGCCACAUUGGGACUGAGACACGGCCCAAACUCCUACGGGAGUCAGCAGUAGGGAAUCUUCGGCAAUGGACGAAAGUCUGACCGAGCAACGCCGCGUGAGUGAAGAAGGUUUUCGGAUCGUAAAACUCUGUUGGUAGAGAAGAACGUUGGUGAGAGUGGAAAGCUCAUCAAGUGACGGUAACUACCCAGAAAGGGACGGCUAACUACGUG
RNAcentral lists this ribosomal RNA (497 nucleotides) under uncultured bacterium. RNAcentral describes it as "partial 16S ribosomal RNA". It matches the Rfam family "Bacterial small subunit ribosomal RNA", at positions 28 to 507 of the family's 1533-position model. The record is from RNAcentral.